Long non-coding RNA from Gallus gallus (chicken), 2732 nucleotides. The record is from Ensembl. Lineage: Eukaryota; Metazoa; Chordata; Aves; Galliformes; Phasianidae.
UCUUAUGCAGGCUAUACUGUUGCUCUUCAAGUUUCCCAGUUUAAAAUUUAACCAGGAAGUGAGGCAUGUCUUAGCUUCAGCAAAUCAAAAGUUUCAGAAUAUUUUGUUUUUGCUGCCUUAGAAACCCAAGGAUUUUGCCGGCGGUCCAGUAAUGUUCUGAUCUGCUGCAAAACUUUACAGUCAGCACAGCCGUCUGUGCAGAGCAGCAGAUUUCAGUGCCAAUGAGCAAAGUACUUGGCUUCCUUUCGCACUUGUGCAACCUGUUGAGACCCAAGGAAGUUGUGCGGGUGUUGCAAAGGAUUUGGCCAUACCGUUCAGAGUCUGAGAUACCUGCCUAAUCAUGGUGCUCCCUGAGAGACUUCUACUUCCCUGGAGGAUGUUCCUCACUCUGACAGGUCUGAAAGGAAACUCACAUUUCUGCAUUUUAAGGAACACCACAAUGCCUGUAUGGAAAUUGCACUGUCACACAAUAAAUAAAACGUGAGGUAAAAGGAUACUAUCUCUGCUCCAAAGAUUUGAUACUUCUUCCAAGAGAUGCAGUACAUCCAGCACUUCACUCCUUCUAAUUGUGGACUAUGAAAGCAUUGGCUGCGGAGGGUGCUGGACCUUACCAACCCCAUGAAGGAAGGACCAAAAAAUCCAAAUAAAAGUUAUUCAUAGAGGACUAUGGUGCUUUACCAGGCUGUGGUUACCGCCAGGAUGACGCUGAUUGGUAGCCCAGUGCCUGGGAUGGAUUAGGAUCACUUGCUGGGCAGCUUUUCAAUAUUCUGUUUUAUCUUCAUCGUUCAGCACGUGGCCCCAUGUCUCGGGUACUGCACUCCAUUCAAGCUGUGCUCUGGAUACAUAAUUAUUAAUUUCAUCAGCAGCUUUUUGGUGGCAGUCACUGCUAUUGUUUUCAAGUGGAUUGUGAAUAGCGCUGAGUUCUGUUUUUCCUCUUUGAGAUGAGGGGACAUUGUUAUCUUCAUUUUUCAGGUGGAACAAAAAGACACAGGAAGAUUAAAGUGCAGAGGUUCCACUAAUUUCAGACACCAAAGAUCUCUGUAAUUACCCUUGUGGAAAGCUGAUAGCGUUAGCAAUAGCCUUCAUGUGGCCUAAUGCUAACAAAGACUCACCAGCGGCUGUCACAUCUAUUUGCUGAUGGGGGAGGCUCUGGAGCCCUGAGCUCCAUCCUAAUGCUGGCAAGUGCACCAUAGAGAGAUGCAAGCUCUCUUGCUUGUCCCUUCUGCAGCACACGGUCCAUGGACUUCUGGCUGCCCUCCUCCCCACCCCUGCCUCCAGUUGCAGUGGGUGGCUUCGUCCCAUGUGCCACUGAGAGUGGGGACUCUGCUUCCAGUCCUGCUAACCAGAUCUCAGGAAAGCUUACAGUGUGGGUAAAUUUGGGUUGAUUUUCAGAGAAUUAGCAAAUGAUCUGUUAACUUUUCCAGAAGAUGGAGCCAGGGUAUACAUUGUUCCUUAAGGUUGUUUUGAGGGGGAACAAAAAAACCAAACAAACAGAACAGUCUGCUUAUUUCCCUAAGUAUUUAGCCUGCAGGAAAAUCUGAUUAGAAGACUUCAGCCCCACAGGUUAAAGUGUAGCCAAAUUAUGAAGCAGAGAAAUCUUGGAUGACUUUACUGGUAGCAGAGUACUUGUAGCAGCCUUGCUGCUAAUAAGAAGGCAUGUACACGCACACAUGCACCCACAGAGACUUCGUGCGCAUAGACAAGCACAAUAAUUAGCAGGACGCUGGUUGCCCUCUCAUUUAUUUCACUUGUUCUUUUCUGUAGAGCUUAAUCUUGCAGACAGUUUGCUUUAAUCCUGAGUGGAUGGAAACGGCAGGAGUCUGUGUAAAAUUGGUGUAUGUUUUCAGCCACUGAGAGCAGAAACCAUCAGAAGGCAAUGCUGAAUAAAUCCAGAGGAACACCAUGGCAUUAAGGGUGCAUCAUGCUGAGCAUGCCUACUGUGGUAGAAGGUGACUCCCAUCCCAGUGAUGGAUGAGAUCCUGAACGAGGUAGGAUCUCCUCAUGUUUCAUCUACGCAGAACUGCUGAAAGCUUCAUGUUGUGGUCUAAUUCAAAUUAAUUGAAUUGUAAUGGUAAACACAUAAUCAGACAAACAACAGAAGUACAAAGCGAAGGAGUCCACCACGGUCAUUCCUCUUUUGAAAAUAUGAUAACACCUGCACAGAAAAAAAUCAUGAAAGUGGGAGGAAAAAAAUCAUUUGCCUAUGGAAAAAAAAAAAAGUCAGGUCUUUUAAAAGGUGAGCUGCCAGAUGUUUUGUAUAUUAAUGAUAUCUUUUACAUAGUAUAAGAGAGGGUAAUGCAUGUAUCAGUAAGGGCUCAAAUUUAUAAGGAGUGUGAAACAAUAAUUUAAUCCUCCUGAGAUAUGUUAUCAGUGCCAACCCCAUGCUUUUUAUACACAUGUAAACUUCAGUGGAAACCAUCUUAACUGCUUUCCUUCUUAUUAAACAGUCUUCCAAAAUCUAUAAUUCAGCGAGACAUUAAGCAGUUGGCAUUUGUUGCUAUACAAUCCAAUUCUGCAAGCCCCACUGUGAAUUCAGCAGGGCAUUCUCCACCAGCCAGCUUUGUUAUCAGUAACUCUACAUGAAAGAACUUGUGUUUUCCCACUAAUGAAGAAAACUGAAGAAUAAUAAAGUUGUUCAGUAUUUUAGAACCUUACUGUGGAUUGCAGCCUUGAGAUUUAAAUGCAGAGAACUGUUGAGAUGCUCUUGAAUCCAAGUGUCUGUCACUGGUAAG